RNAcentral lists this non-coding RNA (30 nucleotides) under Mus musculus (house mouse). The record is from RNAcentral. Lineage: Eukaryota; Metazoa; Chordata; Mammalia; Rodentia; Muridae.
UGGGAAAGGUAUUCUAGGUGCCUUUGGUUU